Molecule: ribosomal RNA, 426 nt
Filed under: uncultured bacterium
Lineage: Bacteria
Description: partial 16S ribosomal RNA
Rfam family: Bacterial small subunit ribosomal RNA
Source: RNAcentral
GUGAGGAAUUUUCCGCAAUGGGCGAAAGCCUGACGGAGCAAUGCCGCGUGAAGGAUGAAGGCCUAUGGGUUGUAAACUUCUUUUCUCAGAAAAGAAUUAUGACGGUAUCUGAGGAAUAAGCAUCGGCUAACUCUGUGCCAGCAGCCGCGGUAAGACAGAGGAUGCAAGCGUUAUCCGGAAUGAUUGGGCGUAAAGCGUCUGUAGGUUGUUUAAAAAGUAUUCUGUCAAAGAUUAGGGCUUAACCCUAGAUAGGCAGAAUAAACUUUUAAGCUAGAGUGUGGUAGAGGCAGAGGGAAUUCCCGGUGGAGCGGUGAAAUGCGUAGAUAUCGGGAGGAACACCAAAGGCGAAGGCACUCUGCUGGGCCAAUACUAACACCGAGAGACGAAAGCGAGGGGAGCAAAUGGGAUUAGAUACCCUUGUAGUCC